RNAcentral lists this ribosomal RNA (1493 nucleotides) under uncultured bacterium. RNAcentral's name for it is "16S ribosomal RNA". It matches the Rfam family "Bacterial small subunit ribosomal RNA". The record is from RNAcentral.
AGAGUUUGAUCCUGGCUCAGAUUGAACGCUGGCGGCAUGCUUUACACAUGCAAGUCGAACGGUAACAGGCCGCAAGGUGCUGACGAGUGGCGAACGGGUGAGUAAUGCAUCGGAACGUGCCCAGUCGUGGGGGAUAACGCAGCGAAAGCUGCGCUAAUACCGCAUACGAUCUAUGGAUGAAAGCGGGGGACCUUCGGGCCUCGCGCGAUUGGAGCGGCCGAUGUCAGAUUAGGUAGUUGGUGGGGUAAAGGCUCACCAAGCCGACGAUCUGUAGCUGGUCUGAGAGGACGACCAGCCACACUGGGACUGAGACACGGCCCAGACUCCUACGGGAGGCAGCAGUGGGGAAUUUUGGACAAUGGGGGCAACCCUGAUCCAGCCAUUCCGCGUGAGUGAAGAAGGCCUUCGGGUUGUAAAGCUCUUUCAGCUGGAGUGAAACGGUGCGCUCUAACAUAGCGUGCUAAUGACGGUACCAGCAGAAGAAGCACCGGCUAACUACGUGCCAGCAGCCGCGGUAAUACGUAGGGUGCGAGCGUUAAUCGGAAUUACUGGGCGUAAAGCGUGCGCAGGCGGAUUGUUAAGCAAGAUGUGAAAUCCCCGGGCUUAACCUGGGAAUGGCAUUUUGAACUGGCAGUCUAGAGUGCGUCAGAGGGGGGUGGAAUUCCACGUGUAGCAGUGAAAUGCGUAGAGAUGUGGAGGAACACCGAUGGCGAAGGCAGCCCCCUGGGAUGACACUGACGCUCAUGUACGAAAGCGUGGGUAGCAAACAGGAUUAGAUACCCUGGUAGUCCACGCCCCUAAACGAUGUCAACUGGUUGUUUGGGGGAGUGAAAUCCCUUAGUAACGAAGCUAACGCGUGAAGUUGACCGCCUGGGGAGUACGGUCGCAAGAUUAAAACUCAAAGGAAUUGACGGGGACCCGCACAAGCGGUGGAUGAUGUGGAUUAAUUCGAUGCAACGCGAAAAACCUUACCUACCCUUGACAUGUCCGGAAUCCUGCAGAGAUGCGGGAGUGCCCGAAAGGGAAUCGGAACACAGGUGCUGCAUGGCUGUCGUCAGCUCGUGUCGUGAGAUGUUGGGUUAAGUCCCGCAACGAGCGCAACCCUUAUCAUUAGUUGCUACGCAAGGGCACUCUAAUGAGACUGCCGGUGACAAACCGGAGGAAGGUGGGGAUGACGUCAAGUCCUCAUGGCCCUUAUGGGUAGGGCUUCACACGUCAUACAAUGGUCGGUACAGAGGGUUGCCAAGCCGCGAGGUGGAGCCAAUCCCAGAAAGCCGAUCGUAGUCCGGAUUGUUCUCUGCAACUCGAGAGCAUGAAGUCGGAAUCGCUAGUAAUCGCGGAUCAGCAUGUCGCGGUGAAUACGUUCCCGGGUCUUGUACACACCGCCCGUCACACCAUGGGAGUGGAAUCUGCCAGAAGUAGGUAGCCUAACCGCAAGGAGGGCGCUUACCANCGGUGGGUUUCAUGACUGGGGUGAAGUCGUAANCAAGGUA